This 279-nucleotide ribosomal RNA is filed under the name uncultured bacterium. RNAcentral describes it as "partial 16S ribosomal RNA". It matches the Rfam family "Bacterial small subunit ribosomal RNA", at positions 506 to 784 of the family's 1533-position model. The record is from RNAcentral.
UGCCAGCAGCCGCGGUAAUACGGAGGGUGCAAGCGUUAUCCGGAUUUAUUAGGUUUAAAGGGUGUGUAGGCGGACUUUUAAGUCAGUGGUGAAAUCCCGGGGCUCAACUCCGGAACUGCCAUUGAUACUGAAAGUCUUGAGUACAGUUGAAGUAGGCGGAAUGUGUAAUGUAGCGGUGAAAUGCUUAGAUAUUACACAGAACACCGAUUGCGAAGGCAGCUUACUAAGCUGUUACUGACGCUGAUGCACGAAAGCGUGGGGAGCAAACAGGAUUAGAUA